RNAcentral lists this long non-coding RNA (277 nucleotides) under Lonchura striata (white-rumped munia). RNAcentral describes it as "domestica (Bengalese finch) lncRNA (ENSLSDG00000005760.1)". The record is from RNAcentral. Lineage: Eukaryota; Metazoa; Chordata; Aves; Passeriformes; Estrildidae.
GAACGGCAGGCAGCCUCGGGAGCUCAACCGGGAAUAAUCCUCGGGAAUUCAGCCGGGAAUCAGCGCUGGGGCCGCUCCGGCCGCUCCAGCCCGGGCGCCGCCGCCGCCCAAGCGAGCGCCCAGCACGACGCUCACGCUGCGCUCCAAGUCCAUGACGGCCGAGCUGGAGGAGCUGGAGAAGCUGGACGAGAUCCUGGCGGCCACCGAGCCGGCGCUGAGGGCGGAGCUGGUGGAGGCCGAUUCCAGGGCGGCCACGGUGAAACAGCGCCCGACCAGC